GUCCACGCUGUAAACUAUGGGUACUAGGUGUUCGGGGUAUUGACCCCCUGAGUGCCGCAGCUAACGCAUUAAGUACCCCGCCUGGGGACUACGGCCGCAAGGUUAAAACUCAAAGGAAUUGACGGGGGCCCGCACAAGCGGUGGAGCAUGCUGUUCAAUUCGACGCAACGCGAAGAACCUUACCUGGGCUAGACAACGGCGGACAGCCUGUGAAAGCAGGUCUUCCCUUCGGGGACUGCCGGUUCAGGUGUUGCAUGGCUGUCGU
RNAcentral lists this ribosomal RNA (265 nucleotides) under uncultured bacterium. Its description in RNAcentral is "partial 16S ribosomal RNA". It matches the Rfam family "Bacterial small subunit ribosomal RNA", at positions 793 to 1055 of the family's 1533-position model. The record is from RNAcentral.